CUCGAGCCAUGUCCACACGGAGACGGCUCCUUCGACACCGGAAGUAGUAAAACGUCACUUCCGGUGUCAAAGUAGCUUGCCCUGUCUGGGCAUGGCUCCUUCGACACCGGUAGUUGAGGGUGACAUCACUUCUGGUGUCGCAGCCUCGUGUGUCUGUCACCGCGGUCACUACCCUUCCCGAGUCUGCGACUGGUCAAGUUUUGGGUUCUUGCCAAGUUCAUGGACCAGCAGGUGCAGAACAUCGUGCAGAAGGUGGCCAGGGCCAGGAUUCAGCAGCAGUACUAGGGGACAACAAUGAAGGCUCUUAUUUGGGGAGCACAGCUCCUGUAAAGGCAUGGGAGCAAGCAGCCGGUGCCACUGGCAAUGCUUCGGGUGGGAAAGCUAGUGCAGAGAAGUGCCUAAAAGUCACUUCCUCGGGGAGCACAGCUUCUGUAGAGGUUGGGGUCUCAAACGUGGAUUCCAGCGCUAUGAAGAUGCAACUGGCUGGCGUCGGACCGGAUGCAGCAUCUGCCAGCCAGGCGAGACCAAGCACCACGAGAGAAGAACUAUACAGCAGUCUAUCUGCAAGACUCUGAGCAAGAGCAUUGUGCGAUGGUGGUAUGCAACCACCAUAGUUCCCAAAUUUGUAAAUUUGGGAACUAUGGCCUAAAUUUGUACUUUCGACUAUAUUAAACCCAGUGUUUUUUUAAUUG
Ixodes scapularis (black-legged tick) is the source of this 692-nucleotide long non-coding RNA. RefSeq lists it as uncharacterized. The record is from RefSeq and is a predicted model, not a curated record. Lineage: Eukaryota; Metazoa; Arthropoda; Arachnida; Ixodida; Ixodidae. The transcript is spliced from 3 exons.